UACGUAGGGCGCAAGCGUUGUCCGGAAUUAUUGGGCGUAAAGAGCUCGUAGGCGGCCUGUUGCGUCCGCUGUGAAAUCCCGGGGCUCAACCCCGGGCCUGCAGUGGAUACGGGCUGGCUAGAGGCAGGCAGGGGAGAACGGAAUUCCUGGUGUAGCGGUGAAAUGCGCAGAUAUCAGGAGGAACACCGGUGGCGAAGGCGGUUCUCUGGGCCUGUACUGACGCUGAGGAGCGAAGGCGUGGGGAGCGAACAGG
This 253-nucleotide ribosomal RNA is filed under the name uncultured bacterium. Its description in RNAcentral is "partial 16S ribosomal RNA". It matches the Rfam family "Bacterial small subunit ribosomal RNA", at positions 524 to 776 of the family's 1533-position model. The record is from RNAcentral.